AGAAAAGCCCUCCCAUUAUCUUUCUCCCCCACUCUCAACUCCGGCGAUGCUCCUCUUCUCCCGCCGCCCCUUCCCUUCACCCCGCCUCCCCAUCCGCCGCCUCUUACGAUGCCGCUGCACCUAUUCCCCCGUCUCCUCCGCCCCGUACCACGAAUCCUUCGCCCGUCGCAUGGCCCUCGCUGGCAUCCACCCCCACCACCGCAUUGCGGUUGGGGUCUCCGGCGGGCCGGACUCCAUGGCGCUCUGCGUGCUCGCGGCGGCUUGGAAGAAGGCGGUGGAGAGGAAGUCCGAGGACAAGGGAUCCGUCGCCCCGGGGUUCGUGGAAGGGCUCCUCGGGGUCGUGGUUGACCAUGGGCUGCGGCUAGAGAGCGCCCAGGAGGCGCAGCUAGUGCGUGACCGGGUGCACGCAAUGGGUGUCAUGUGUGAGAUUGCUACAUGUGAGUGGCCAAAUGGGCGGCCAAAUCUAGGGCAUCUGCAAGAGGCCGCCCGUGAAAUGAGGUACCAAAAACUAUUGGACAUUUGUAUAAAGCAACAAAUAGGAGUCUUACUUAUUGCACAUCACUCUGAUGACCAGGCAGAGCUCUUUGUUUUGAGAUUAUCUCGCAACAGCGGAGUUUUGGGUCUUGCUGGCACAGCCUUUGCCUCCCAAUUGUUUGCACCUAAUUUGAAAUAUGAUGGACAUAAUUUUUGUCGUUACGGAAUCCUUCUUGUUCGGCCCAUGCUCGAAUUUUCGAAAAAUGACAUGUAUAAGAUAUGUCAAGGAAGUAAUCAUUUGUGGGUUGAAGAUCCAACAAAUAAUAGUAUGCAGUAUGCUAGGAACCGAAUUCGGGCAUCUUUGAGAUGUUUAUCCCCAGAUGGUGCCUUUCAAUCAGAACUUCAGAAACUGAUCUAUGCAUGCCGGUUGACACGAGUGUGUGUCAGCAAUGCCUGCAAUAUGGCCAUCAAGCAGUCUGUCACAAUAACCGAGUACGGGUACGCUGUCAUUGACCUUAAAAAACUUGACCCACAAAAUGUUGAUGAUCUUUCUCUUUCACAAUAUUUGGCAUGCGUAUUACAGUUUGUUUCACAGAGGCACAGGCCGAUCCGUGGAAGAGCUACUCGAUUGUUCAUGGACUACAUUCGUAAUACACCUUGCAAGGGUGCCCUUACUGUAGCUGGUUGUUACAUUUGCACUUUUCCAAGGUCUAAAAGUACAAAAAUACUAGUCUGUUGCUCUGCUGACUUGCUGGAGUCAUUUUCUGGUGAGAUGUCCUACAAGUGUUCCUAUGAAGAACAGCCACCACCGGUACCUGAAAUUGAUCAUGUAGCACUUGAAGCACGCUUAUACUCUAACCAAUUUCUACAGUGCUCAAGCAUACCUUUUUUGAGUCAUGAAUCCUCUACUGAUGUUCUGAAUAGAGCAAAGGAUCUCAAUAUUAUAGGUGAUUUUUCGUUAGAAAAGCUCCUCAACCUGCAAACAGAAGAACAUCAGAAAUUUAUAAGAACAACAGAACAUAAAUAUGAGGAGCAAUACUUGGAGAAAACAAGCUUUCCUGAUGUGAAAGUUCUUUGUCUCUGGCCUGGCGAAACAUGUCACUUUAUGAGCAGGUUCUUGAUUACAUGGAAUACUUUGGAAUCUGUUCCAAAUGGAAUAUGUUCAUAUGACAGUCAAAAAGGGAUAUGCCAGCAUUGUGCAGUGAAUCAAGAUGGAAGUCUCGCAGUUCGUCACAUGUUUGAUACCGAUUGGUUGUUCCUUGCUGAAGUUUCUAGAAUUGGCUCAGUGGAGGAGAACCAGAAUGUCUCAAAAGUUUCCAGUGAGAAAUUAAAGGACGAUGAGCUCCUGAAUCACUCUAAUUAUUUGCAAUUAUCAGCAACGGAAGCUCUUGAGGUCCUGAGAUCUAUUCCAGCUUCUGCAAGACGAACACUGCCAGUGCUGACCAAUUCUCAAGGUGACAUAUUGAGCAUACCAAGUGUUGGCUUCCGGUGCUGUCCUAGCCUAUCAAUCGAAGCCGUAUUUCAUCCAAGAGUACCACUUGGUGGGGGAUACACUUCAUAUUUAUGAUGGCUCGAUCUUUAUUUGUGGCAAAAAAGAAAUGUCAAGCACAGUGAGAUAUAUAACUGCCGGUGCUAAAUGACUACUGUCUGAACCUUGGCAGUUGGCACUGAGAAUGCUAAAUGUUUAGUUUUCGGACGCCACAAUAUUGUGCAAACGGAUGUGGAACUUGCUAAAGAGCAAAUGCCUGUUGAUAUGCCACAGGAAGGCCAUCUUUUGCUCGAUGGUUGUAACUUGUGCAUGGCAUCAAGAUUAGGUACAAACACAUGCUGACAAGUCUUCCCAAAAAACUUUGCUACGCCUUUUCCUGGCCAGAAGGUGUUUGGGAAAGCUUCUAAAUCUAGGGUUCAAUGCCCACAAAAAUCCCCGGAUAGUAAAGAACUGAUUGUAGGGAAAGCUAGGAUUUCACUUGAUGUUGAAUCAAUCAUCAGAAUAAGUAUUAGGCCAAAAAUUAGGAUACAUUCAGGAUGAUAUCCGGUUGCGGUGAUGAACAAUCAGAGGUCAGGUAUCUGUGGGGCAAGGCUUGUGGUUGUGGAUGCUAGGUGUUCGGGAUGAGGCCGCAAUGAAGUCAGGGCAUCUGGCUUUGCGAACUGGCAGGUGGCGUACAGGCCAGUCAAAUGUCAAGAUAAUUGGAAAAGGUUAAGCUAUGAAAAAUUGCUGAGUUAUUAGCCAUAAUUUACUCUACUAAAAUGUGGUCACCAAAACAGCUGCAGUUUUCUGCUUUUGUUAAAUAAUACAUUUUUAUUAAUUUCCAGGAAUAUGACGUGUUUUUGAAUUUUUUUUGAAAUUAGGAUCCAAUCGGUCAUGUUGUGGCCGAUUGGGCCCAAACGGCCGAGUUGUGGCCGACCACGGAAGUCCCAUCAAUAGGCCUGUAACUUGAUGGCAGUGGACCACAUGUAGCUCUGGCUUAGGACCUACUACCUUGCAAUGCACUACUAUGUGUAGCGCUCUCUGGUGAUGGGUUGGUGGUGAUGCAUGCAUAACGAUGAUGAUGGUUGUAUGUUUUGAAGUAACUAGGAUUUGAUGAACGCUUAUGAC
Lolium perenne is the source of this 3070-nucleotide non-coding RNA. The record is from RefSeq and is a predicted model, not a curated record. NCBI's taxonomy places the organism in Eukaryota, Viridiplantae, Streptophyta, Magnoliopsida, Poales, Poaceae.